This 33-nucleotide non-coding RNA is filed under the name unclassified sequences. RNAcentral's name for it is "S4-Bacteroidia ribosomal protein leader". It matches the Rfam family "S4-Bacteroidia ribosomal protein leader". The record is from RNAcentral.
GAUUGUAUAAUUUCUUCUCUACAAUCGCGGCUG